RNAcentral lists this long non-coding RNA (387 nucleotides) under Helianthus annuus (common sunflower). RNAcentral's name for it is "sRNA HanXRQr2_Chr05g0237491". Lineage: Eukaryota; Viridiplantae; Streptophyta; Magnoliopsida; Asterales; Asteraceae. The record is from RNAcentral.
GUGUUUCUCAUUAUACUUUUCUUAACUCAUGGUUUUCAUAGUAUAGUUGAGGUUUUAAAAUAAUAUAUAAGCUUUCCUGACUUUCUCUGUGCAUUACUUUUACAUUAAUUUGUAAGUUUUCCAUUGAUUUGAGGCAGAUUUUAAAGGAGAAUAAGGACAAGAAAGAUGAAGGGCAGAAAACUUUCAGGAACGUCCUAUUGAAUCCGUGACAGAAGUAUGUGAUCUUGCUACCAAGCCAGCUUUUGUUCAAUAUGCAACAUUGGUAUUGAUGGUUGUUGUUGUAAUUGUAUUCCACUAUAUACCAUGGUAAAACACACGUAAUGUGCUACAUUGGAGUUUGUUCGAUAGUAGGUUCUUUAUGAGUCAGUAUUAAAAUUGUUCGCACUU